Molecule: RNA transcript, 8927 nt
Organism: Durio zibethinus
Lineage: Eukaryota; Viridiplantae; Streptophyta; Magnoliopsida; Malvales; Malvaceae
Source: RefSeq, a predicted model, not a curated record
GAUUACACGAAACGAUAAGUUGUGAUAGAUGAAUUUGACCAAAUUUCCAUUCCCCCGCGUGUUCGGGAACCAACCCCCAACCAAAACGGGCCUCGCUGCUCCUACGCUGUCACGGCGGCUAUAUGCCCCUUCUCCAACCUUUUCUUUUUUUUUUUUUAGUUUUUAUUUUAUUUUUUCCCAGACCCAAAAAAGAUUUAAAAAGGAAAAAUCGUAUGUUCUUCCUCACAAUAAUUCUAAAAAAGAAAAAUAAAAUUCAAUUUCGUGCUUCCGUGAUUUCCGAUUUCCUUAUGGGACGAAAAUUUCAAAAUUUUUAAUUUGAACUGAUUAGAUUUUUCUAGGGUUUGAAUUCGAGGGGGGGGCUUUGGUGGAAUUUUGAGAUUGUAUUAGGGUUGGCGAUAUGAAGAUAGAGGUAACGGGUUCGAGCAACGAAUCGUUAGCGAUGGAAGUGGGGGAGAUGAAGAUAAAAGUUGUGGAAGAGCAAGAUCAGUUUCGCGUUAAGCGGAAGACUUUGCAAGCUGUGCUGGAACAAUGCCAGAGAGCUCUCGAAUUGCUUAGUAACAACGAAGUUGGAAUCGAUGAUGACGAUGAAGAUGACGUGGAUCCUCAAGGGGAACUCUGCGGUCUGGGCCUUCGAAGAGAUCAAGAGGCCGACGAGUUGUGUGAUCUUCCCAAAUCUAGAGUUCGAUGCUCUGACUUCCUCAAAAAGCUAGAGUGUGCUCAGGUGCCAGUUCCAGAAAACAUUGCUGAAGAAGGUAGUUCUUGGGACAUGGUCAAUGAAAAUGAUCUUUGGGAAGACGAAGUUGUUGAUUUGGAUCAAGAAGAUUAUGUUCUUGUUAGGCAGGAAGAUAUAGUAGAAGGCAUUGCUUGUUUUAUGGCUGCAUAUUUGCUGUCCCUUAAACAGACUAAGGAUUGGACUCCCAAUCAACUUCAGGAAGCACUAAGCAAGACCUUCUCUGUAAAAGAGAAAAAAGGAAAGCUUCGAAAAGCAUGGGAUGGAAGUAAAGUCAUUUAUAAUGUGGCAUCCUGGGGGGCAACUGCAAUUGGGAUAUACCAAACCCUUUACUUCUAAGAACUGCCUCAAAAGCCUUCUGGACUUCUUGUCAUGUUAUAUCAAAGCUUCUCUGAUUUCCUUGCUCUACUUGGUGAACAGAGUGAUACUGGAAUUCACUGUUUUCGUGAUCAGCAUAUGCAAAUGCCCUAGGUAGUAAUGGAUGUCUAACAUUUGCUUUUGUGGACUCUUCUCUGAUAGCUAGAUUUUGGGGUUGGAUUAAAGUGUUGAAUGUGUUCAUCUUGCUUUCAAAUCUUUUGAUAAUUUGUCGUUCACGACUUUGGAAAAAGUAUGACAAGUUCUUCAUUUGAGAUCUACUUUGAAGUGUGAACAUGUCUGAAAUUCUUGUCUGUGGCUUCCAUUUUUACAAAGACAACAUCACCAAAGUUUGAAAGAGGUAAGUUAAUGGCAUGAUCUUGAAUUUUAUAUGUCAUCUAGUAGUAAAUGAUUGCCUGGAGUCCUUUCAUCUUAGUACCUACAAUCUGCAUUUGAACUUUCAAAACAUCUAACAGUGUUGGAUUAUGAAGAGACAUAUUAUAAUUUGGGAAGACUGUGAAGAAGACAGUUCUUGCAUUGAGUUUCAUCUCAAUUAUGUCGAGUAUUGCAUGCUUGUAUCAUUUGAAUCUUGUGUUUAACAAGGUCAUUUUGAUACAUAUAGGAAUACUAUUUCUACCAUGAAAGGUCAAAGCUAUUUUGAUAGCACCAAAAUAGAUGUGAGUAUAUCUUUGUUCUGACCAUUAUUGAAAAAUUCUUCUGGGAUUUAAAAAGUAACAAAAUUCUCUUGAGUUUUUGCUGGAAGAAUACAUUGAUCAAAGUUUGUGACUUGAACAUAUUCUUUUGAAACUUGAUAUUUUAGUUUUAAAAAGGUUUUUAGAGAACUAGUAAUAGAAGUGAAAGAGUUUAAGAAAGCUAUAUAAAGAUUUACAAUAGGAAUAACUGUUUGAUGGAUUUUUUUUUUUAGAUGUAAUCUACUUCAUACAAGAAUUUUAACUUAAAAAGAAGACUUUUUAAGUACAAGAGAAGAAGGAAAAAGAUAAACUAAAAGAAGAUCUAGAAGUGGAAGGUUGAGAACUAGAAUUACUAAUAGUAGAUAAAUUCAUGAAAAUAAAACUCUCUUUUGGCUUUUCCUAUUCAACUCAAUAAUCAAGAAAUAGAAACAAGAAUUUCUUCUCUUUAUUCAGAAUUGCUCUUUGAUACCAUUCUAAAAAGCAAGGUAGAGAUGUCCUAGAGUAGUGUAACUGACAGGUUCAGUUUCGAGUUCUCUGGGGAUUGAGUUUUAACAAAAUUACCUGCAACAUAGCGAAGGUUCAGUUGCCUUAACAAGAUAAUACUAAACAUAAAUAGUUUAUAGAACAGACAUAUAACUAAAGUAUUUUAGUUGAUGUUUAAGACUCUGGUACCCUUUUGGCUUAAUGUCGAAUUGGUGUUCUGACUUUUGUGGAGAUAUCUUUCACUACAAUAGCUUAUUUCAGUAAGAUUUUGGUAUAAUAAUUUUUUUUUUUGGUUGAAAUAAUGGAUCAAUGAUCUAUUUGAUAAUUGUACAAGAAUUUUUAAUGCAGAGGAUCCAUAAUACUAUGGUAACUAUAGAGUAUACUUGUAUUACUGCAAAUCAUGAAACAAAUAGAAGAAAUAUGAAUUUGAAAGUUUAAUUAUAGAAAAAGAAGGUAGAAAUUAUCCAACGAGAAGAGAGUUUUUAGUCAAACACAUUUUAUAAUAAAGAUUUCUUACAAAGAGAAAUUUCUUGAAGAAGCUUAACUUGUUCCUUCUAGAAAAAAGAGCAAACAAUUUAUACAUAAAAAAGUAAAAAAAUAGUAACCUAAUAAAAUCAUGUUAUGAUUAAAGUCAUGACCUUACAAAUGACUUGACAUAAAGUUAUCUUAAUAAAGUUACUUUAAAAAAAUAGCUUUAAAAAAGUAGACAUGACUCUAAAAUAGAUAUAAUGUAGAUUUAACAUAAAGUAAACUUAACAUAAAGUAAACUUGACAUAAAGUAGACUGGACAUAAAGUAGAUUUAACAUAAAGUAAACUUAAAGCUGAUGUAAAGUUUGGUGAGAUGUCAACAUCAACUUUAGAGUCUUCUGAAAAGCAUAUGAAAAGUAUUAUCACAUAUAAUUAUACAUAAUUAGACUAAAAUAGAGGAGUUUUUUGUCUGGAGUACCAUGAGUGGAUUUCUAAUUUACCAUUCUAACAAGCAGAAUUUCUAAUAAAAAGGGUAGAGAUGUCUUAGACUCACUUAAUUGAUGGGUUUAGUUUCAAGCUUUCCGGGGAUGGAGUCUUAACAAAAUUACCUACAACAUAUCGGAAGAUCGAUUGCCCUAACAAGAUAAUACUAAAUAUAAGCAGUUCAUAGAUCAAAUAUAUAACCAAGGUAUUCUAGUCAAUGUUCAAGACUCUGACGCCCUUUUGGCUUAACGUUGAACUGGUAGCUUGACUUUUAUGAAAAUAUAUCUUUCAUUACAGUAGCUUAUUUUAGUAAAAUCUUGGUACUUAAUUUUUUUUUGUUGAAAUAGUGGAUCAAUGAUUUUUUAACAAUUCUACAAGAAUUUCUGAUGUAGAAGAUUCAUAAUACUAUUACAACUGCAGAGCAUACUUAAUUUGUAUCAUUAUAAAUCAUAGAAUAGAUAGAAAAAAUAUGAAUAUGAAACUUUAACUAUAGAAGAAUGAUGAAAGAAUUACCAAAGAAAAUAUAGUUUUUAGUCAAAUAUAUUUUAUAAGAAAAUUAUUACAAAGGGAAACUUCUUGAAGAGGCUUAACUUGUUUUUUUUUUUUUUUAGAAGGAUCACAUAAUUUAUACAUAAAAAAAGUAAAGAAAUAGUAACCUAAUAGGAUCAUGUCAUUAUUAAAGUCAUGAUCUUACAAAUAACUCGACAUAAAGUUACUUUAAUAAAGUUACUUUAAGAAAGUAGCUUUAAAAAAAUAGACAUAACUCAAAAGUAGACAUAAAAUAGAUUUGACAUAAAGUAGACUUGACAUAAAGUAGACUUGAAGUUGAUAUAAAGUCUGAUGAGGCAUCAACAUCAACUUUGGAGUCUUUUGAAAAGUAUCUAGAGAGCAUUAUCACACAUAAUUAUAUAUAAUUGGAUUGAAACAAAGAAUCCCUUCUAGAGCAUCAUGAGUGGAUUUCUGACUAGAUUAGCAUCAUUUGUAAGAACUAUGAGUGUGUUCUAAAAAGAGAUUAAGGUAGAAAUUAUCUGCAUCUUGUAAAUAAGGUCAUACGCAUGUCUUUCAAUUGUCUUUUUUGUAAUGAUCUGUUGAAUUUCAAAAGAAAGGUUAUAAAUUGAGAAUAUUGGUUGAAAAUUUGGAUAUGGAACAAAGGGUUUAUAUUUUAGGCUAUAAAGACAAAAUAAAAAAAAUUAGUUAGUGUUUGAAGAACAGGGUCAUAAGAAGGUGAAAGUAAAGAUAAAGAGGUCAUCAUAGAAAUGACUGAAAUAAUUUGCAGGGAGUUUGAUGGAGGUUUAGGAGGAGACCAAGUUAGCAUGUUUGGAAAGAUGUUGUCUCUGCUUUUUGUAUAUACUAUGGUGAAAGAAUAUUUUGAGAACCACUGAGAAAGUUUGAGUAACUGUGUAUUUGGCAUCUGUUUCUUCUUGAAAUUAAGCAUUUGAUCAAAAGCUGACAUAUUCAAUUCCAUAAGAAAGUGGUAUCUAAUGAGGUGAAAUUCAAAUUUUUGGAUUUUAUAUUUUACAUUUAAAAUUUUUUUAGUGUAAAGUGGUAAUAGAGUAUCGAAUUUUUGAAUCUAUCACUUUUAUAAUCACAUAUCUGUCUGUUCCAUCUUUGUCUUUUAAAAUGAUUGUUGAUCAAAAUUUAUCGGUUGCAUCUGUCUGCAAUAUCUUUUUUUUAUCUGAAAAAAUCUUAAAGUAAGAAGUGACUGUGCUUUUAUCUUUAAUGUUUGUACUAUUUUUGUCUGUAUCUGGGACUACUUGGGAAGCUCUUUCUUUAACAUUUGUCUGAGAGGGUGAGUUAACUGUGCAAGAUUUAAAAGAAAUUCACUCAUGUAAUUUACUACACUGAGGAAUGUUGUACUUACUUUUUGAAAAGAUUUUCAUUAGGAAAAUCUACAUGUGUCUUAGUAAUGACGAAGAUAUUUACUCUCAUCCUUGAUAAUGCAUUAAUUUACAUUGAAGAUAUCUUACUGUUCUCUUCAGAUGUCACAUCUUACAUACAGUUAUUGGAUAAGUUUCAGCAAAUUGUUUAGUAGUAUGAGAUAAUGCUCUCAGAGAAAAAAAUUAUCAUUGACCCUUCAAAAAUUAUUUUCUUAAGCAUGCAUUUGAAAGAUGGACAAUUCAUAGCUCAAACUCACAUUGUUAAGACACUUGCAGAUUUUUCUAAUGAAAAUCUAUCGAAAAAAUAAGCAUAACAAUUUUUCAGCAUAGUAAAUUAUAUGAGUGAAUUUCUUUUAAAUCUUGUACGGUUAACUCAUUCUUUCAAACAGAUGUUAAAAAAGAGCCUCUAAAGUAGUUUUACAUACAGACAAAAGUAAUACAGACAUUUAAGAUAAGAAUGCAGUCACUUCCUACUUUAAAGAUUUCUUUAGAUGAAAAAAAAGAUAUUGUAGACAGAUGUAAACGAUAAAUUUUGAUCGAUAAUUUUUUUAGAAGAAAAAGAUGAAACCAAACAGAUAUGUGAUUACAAAAGUAGUACAUUUAAAGAUUUGAAACUCCAUUACCACUCUAUACUAAAAAAAAAUUUAGCUGUAAUGUAUGAAAUUCAAAAAGUUAAAUUUCACCUCAUUUGAUAAUAUUUUCUUGUGAAAUUAGAUAUGUUAGCUUUUGAUCAGAUGCUUAAUUUCAAGAAUAAGCAGACGUCAAAUGCAUAGUUAUUCAAACUUUUUUAGUGGUUCUUAAAGUAUUCUUUCACUACAACAUAUAUAAAAGGUAGAGAACAUCCUCUCAGACAUGCUAACCAAACCUUCUCUUAAACCUUUUUCGAACUUUUUACAGAUUAUUCUAAUCAUUUUCAUGAUGACCUUUUUACCUUUACAUUCACCUUCUUUUGACCCUAUUUUUCAAAUAGUAACCAAUCUUUUUUUUUAUCCUUAUCUUUAUAUAUAUAGCCAAAAUAUAACUCUUUUGUUUUAGAUCUAGAUUUUCAAUUAAUAUUCUCAAUUCAUAAUCUUCCUUCUGAAAUUUAACAGAUCAUUGUAAGAAAGACAAUUCAAAGACACGUGCAUGACCUUAUUUACAAGAUGCAGACUAUUUUUUUUAGAAAAAGAGCAGAUCAUGGCCUCAACCCAUUGGUUUUUAUCCCCAACAUCUUUUUUUGCAUCUAUUUCAAAUCUCUGAUACAACAAGCUUAUUCAAAGAAGCUUUGGUUCUCUUAUGAUAUUUAUGCUAACUCUACACUAUUGCCAUUGAGUUUAACUUCUUUGAACUCAAUUUUACCACAGUCAUAUUCACUAACAAUGAUUUCUUCUAUGAAAUAGAUAUUCAUAUAGGAAAUUUCUUAAAGUGGUUCAAACCCUUACACAUAUAGUUUUCUCUCACCAAAAAUCUCCAUUAAAAUUAUCAUGUCAUCCUCAUGUUUCACCAUUCUUGUGAAAUUUUUUAUGAUUAUGCCUUCUUUUAACCUUAUUUUGACAUCUAUGUGUGCAAUCCUUACUCUCUGUAUAAAUUUAUUUUUUAGUAUGCACAUAAUUACAAGUUCUUGUUGAAAAGGCUCUGUAAAAUUAACAAGGUUCCAAGCUUUACAGAACUUUCUCAUUUUAAAAAAGAACUAUGAUGGUGGUACCCUUCAGCAUAUAUCCAAGAAUUACUAAAUCACCUGGCACAAUGGACCCUUGAACCAACCUACAAUACUUGGUGGAGUGACUUAUCUCAUAAACUUGUUAAUUUUGAUCUCCAUAUCCCUUCCGAACUAGCUCAACUUUCAAUAAACCAUUAUUGGCAAAAUUUAGAAGAUCUUUCCAAAAUUCGAACAAGAUUUAAAAAUAGGAUCUACAGUUAAUUAUUCCAAAAUUAUGAUUCAGACCCGAUGAUUUUGAACAAUAACUGUUUGUGGGUAGACAAUUGUCUAAUCCUCUAAUAUCUUAAAGAUUUUUUUCGAAUAAAGUUAGAAAUCCACUCAUGGUGCUUCAAACAAAAGACUUUUAUGUUUUAGUCCAAUUAUGUAUAAUUAUGUGUGGUAAUGCUUUUCAAAAGACUCUAAAGUUGAUGUUGAUGCCUCACCAAACUUUACAUCAACUUUAAGUAUACUUUAUAUCUAGUCUAAUUUAUGUUAAGUUUACUUUAUGUCAAAUCUACUUUAUGUCUAUUUUUGAGUCAUGUUCAUUUUUUUAAAGCUACUUUCUUAAAGUAACUUUAUGUCAAGUUAUUGGUAAAGUCAUGACUUUAAUCAUGAUAUGAUCCUAUUAGGUUAUUAUUUUUUUAUUUUUUUAUGUAUAAAUUGUCUACUCUUUCAUCCAAAAGGAACAAUAAAAAAGUUUCCAUUUGUAAGAAAUCUUUCUUAUAAAAUAUUUUUGACAAAAACUUUCUUUUUUUUUUUGUAAUUCUUUCUUUCUUCUUUUACAGUUAAAAUUUCAUAUUCGUAUUUCUUCUAUCUAUUUCAUGGUUUGCAGUGAUACAAGUUAAGUAUGUUUUGUAGUUGUCACAGUAUUAUGGAUUCUUUGCAUCAAAAAUUUUUGUAGAAUUAUCAAAUAGAUCAUUGAUCCACUCUCAGCCAAAAGAAAAAUUAAUGUAUCAAGAUCUUACUGAAAUAAGCUACUGUAUUGAAAGACAUAUUUUUAUAAAAGUCAGGUCACCAGUUUGACGUUAAGGCAAGAAGACAUCAAAGUCUUGAACACCGACUAGAAUAGCUUGAUUAUAUAUCUGAUUUAUAGAUUACUUAUGUUUGAUAUUAUCUUGUUAGGACAAUCGAUCAUUCACUAUGUUGUAGGUAGUUUUGUUAGGACUUCAUCCUUGGAGAGCUUAGAAUUGAACCCGUUAAUUACACACGUCUAGGACAUCUGUACCUUGUUAGAAUGGUAUCAGAACUAGUUUGACAAGAGGGCUAUAAACUAUCGAAAUUAUGAUCAAGGGUUUUUACAGUGUUAUCUGUGGUGAAAUAUUGGCUCUUACUCUGACAUGACCAAAUAGGUUAGCCUCCUGUGUGAUUGAUAUAGUUGAGAGGCUUAUCAAAAUCUAACGUCUGAGAUACUCAUAAAGGCUACUUAGUAUAAUCUAUCUUGACUCUAUAUUCGGAGAGCUCGAGACUCUGCUUGUUAGAAUUAAGGGUGUAAAUGAUACAUUAGUACUCGCAAGUUAUUCGGGUUUGAUUCGAAGAAAACUUGAAUUUGGUUCGAUUAUUAUCGAGUCAAGCUCGAGUUCGAGUAGCUCGACUUAUCGAUCGAGUCGAAUUCGAGUAUUAUUAUAUCCGACUCGAGUAGCUUACGAGCUUAGUCAAGUUUUUAUAUUUAAAUAUAUUUUUAUUAUUUUAAUUAAUAAAAUAUUUCGAGUCUAAGUUCGAGUUCAAGUUCGAGUAUGAAUAAUUGAACUCUUGUCGAGUAUACGAAUCGAGCUUAUUUUUACAUAUUAAUCGAGCCUAAUCGAGUGAGCUCGAGUAGCUCGAAUUCGAUCACGAAUCGAGCUCGAGCUUGAAAAAUAAAAUUUGAUCGAGUUCGAACCGAGUAUCGAGCUUCGAGUUGUGAGUCGAGCUUGAGCACGAGCUUCUCACUAUUUGGCUCGAUUCGACUCGAUUAUAUUCUCGAACUUCUCACUAUUAGACUCGACUUGAUUCGAUUACAUUCCUUAUUAGAAUAGCAAGAUGGGGUGAAAAAAAGGUGACGGGUGAGCUGAUGUGGCAAAGAGGAACUCCGUUUUUUAUUUUUUAAUGAAAGUACUGUUAAUAGUCGAACGGCGUAAGUGCGGAUGCCUUUUUUUUUUGGUUACUCUAAUAUUUCCCCCAUUUU